UUCUCGGUAUCCAAGUUUAGUAGGUCCCACGUCAAUCCAUCCCGAACUUGACAGUGAAACUAUUAAUGAGGUGGAAAAGGUGCAAGGGGGGCCUUGUGUACUUUCCACCUUGACGCCGGGA
Molecule: ribosomal RNA, 121 nt
Filed under: Stigeoclonium sp. FACHB-2430
Lineage: Eukaryota; Viridiplantae; Chlorophyta; Chlorophyceae; Chaetophorales; Chaetophoraceae
Source: RNAcentral